AAGUGCGUCAGAGAAGGAGAAUUCCCUGCAUGGGGUGCAGGUGGUCGGAGGUUCAAAUCCUCUCGCCCCGACCA
This 74-nucleotide transfer RNA is filed under the name Burkholderia latens. RNAcentral describes it as "tRNA-Pro". The record is from RNAcentral. Lineage: Bacteria; Pseudomonadati; Pseudomonadota; Betaproteobacteria; Burkholderiales; Burkholderiaceae.